AUAUUUCUACCAGUAUCACCGAGGUUCAGUAGGUCUCAUGAAAGAAUUUCGAGCCUGGAAUUCUCUAGAGAGGCCUCCAUGCCGGUAUUCUCCAUUGUAGCAGAACAACUCUCAUCAAUAUGUUCGCAUCUCAGCUCAAUCCGUCCAGCCAGCUUUUCUGUCAGGUUCUCUUCGUGUCUCCCAUAAAGUCGACUUCAACAGGACUGGGCAAGACUGAAAGUACCCCUGAGCCUCACCAGUAAACUGAUGACAGGCAGAUCUUCCACUGUCUGCCCUUUCAGAUUCUGGAAACUGACCCUUGAACUCAGGUCUUUGGGCAGCAGCAGUAACUCGAAGUUGCACAGCUUCCCGAGCAAAAGACCAAAGCCAAGCUCCACAUAUGGCGGCAGACCCUCCAUCACACUGAUCCACCCACAGAAUGCUGCCCAGGUACGUUGGUUCCACCAGCCACAACAAGCCUCGUGGUACACAGCAACAUUCCAUCUGGAAUUCCAUCCGGUUUUCUGAGGCCUCAUCCUGUCUUUGGAAGUAACAGACCACACUUCGGAAAGUGUCCUGUGCCAAGGGCUGGAUGUCAGGAAUCUUGGACCCGUUCUUGGAGCAGGGAAUUGAAUAACUUUCUCAAGUGCACGUUGACACUCCGUAUAUUUCUACCAGUAUCACCGAGGUUCAGUAGGUCUCAUGAAAGAAUUUCGAGCCUGGAAUUCUCCAGAGAAGCCUUCAUGCCGGUAUUCUCCAUUGUAGCAGAACAACUCUCAUCAAUAUGUUCGCAUCUCAGCUCAAUCCGUCCAGCCAGCUUUUCUGUCAGGUUCUCUUCGUGUCUCCCAUAAAGUCGACUUCAACAGGACUGGGCAAGACUGAAAGUACCCCUGAGCCUCACCAGUAAGCUGAUGACAGGCAGAUCUUCCACUGUCUGCCCUUUCAGAUUCUGGAAACUGACCCGUGAACUCAGGUCUCUGGGCAGCAGCAGUAUCUCGAACUUAGCUUCUCGAACAAAAGACCUAAGCCAAUCUCCACAUAGGGCAGCAGACCCACCAUCAAACGGAUCCACCCACGGAAUUCUGCCCAGUUAACUUGGAUCCACCAGCCACAACAAGCCUCGUGGUACACAGCAACAUUCCAUCUGGAAUUCCAUCCGAUGUCAGGAAUCUUGGACCCGUUCUUGGAGCAGAGAAUCGAGUAAUUUCUCAAGGGCACGUUGACUCUCCGUAUGUUUCUGCCAGUAUCAGCGAGGUUCAAUAGGUCUCAUGAAUGUCUUUCGAGCCUGAUAUGCUCUAGAGAUGUCUCCAUGCCGAUAUUCUCCACUGUAGCAGAACAACACUCAUCAAUGUGUCUGCACAUCUCCUCAAUCCAUGCAGCCAGUUUUUCUUCCAGCUUCUCUUCGUGUCUCCCCUAAAGUCGACGUCAACAGGAAUGGGCAUGUCUGAAAAUACCUCGGAGCCUCACCAGUAAGCUGAUGACAGGCAGAUCUUCCACUGUCUGCCGUUUCAGAUUCUGGAAACUGCCCCGUGAUCUCAGGUCUCUGGGCAGCAGCAGGAUCUCCAACUUACUCAUCUUCCCGAACAAAAGACCGAAGCCAAUCUCCAUAUAGGGCAGCAGAACCAACAUCAAACUGAUCCACCCACAGAAUUCUGCCCAGUUACAUUGGAUCCACCAGCCGCAACAAGCCUCGUGGUACACACCAACAUUCAACCUGGAAUCCAACCGGUAACUGCCAUCCCCAGUGGUUGAUGCAUCAAGUCCUUGUUGGGGGUGAUGCUGCAUUAAACGAGAGUUUCCUAAGGGAAAUGUGAUUCUAUCCACAAGGGUCCCAUGGUCCUUUUCUCUUCCCUCUUUCCUUUUGUUCAGUUCUGUAUACACAGUACAAACGGAAGGAAGAGUGUCCAUGUUCAGUUUAUGGAUUCACACCUAUUUAAACUUUCUAACAGUUCACAGUACACAGAGACCCAAUCAAGGAAACUCAUGUUUGUGUAAUAUCCAUUCACCCAGAUUACAUAUCCGUCUGUUGCUUUCUGCUGAAAA
Camelus dromedarius (Arabian camel) is the source of this 2022-nucleotide long non-coding RNA. RefSeq lists it as uncharacterized. The record is from RefSeq and is a predicted model, not a curated record. NCBI's taxonomy places the organism in Eukaryota, Metazoa, Chordata, Mammalia, Artiodactyla, Camelidae. The transcript has 4 exons.